GACGAACGCUGGCGGCGUGCUUAACACGUGCAAGUCGAACGGAAAGGCCUGCUUUCCCUUGUGGAUUGCGGGUACUCGAGUGGCGAACGGGUGAGUAACACGUUAGUGAUCUGCCCCCAACUUGGGUAUAAGCCUGGGAAACUGGGUCUAAUUCCCGAUAGGACUGCAGGGUGGUGCCUGUGGUGGAAAACGAUUUUCUAGUGGUUGGGGAUGAGCUCGCGGCCUAUCAGCUUGUUGGUGGGGUAAUGGCCUACCAAGGCGGCGACGGGUAGCCGGCCUGAGAGGGUGGACGGCCACAUUGGGACUGAGAUACGGCCCAGACUCCUACGGGAGGCAGCAGUGGGGAAUAUUGCACAAUGGGCGGAAGCCUGAUGCAGCGACGCCGCGUGGGGGAUGACGGCCUUCGGGUUGUAAACUCCUUUCGACCGCGAGGAAGCCACCUGGUUGGAAGGGUGGUGACGGUAGUGGUAGAAGAAGCACCGGCUAACUACGUG
Molecule: ribosomal RNA, 494 nt
Filed under: uncultured bacterium
Lineage: Bacteria
Description: partial 16S ribosomal RNA
Rfam family: Bacterial small subunit ribosomal RNA
Source: RNAcentral